Molecule: ribosomal RNA, 254 nt
Filed under: uncultured bacterium
Lineage: Bacteria
Description: partial 16S ribosomal RNA
Rfam family: Bacterial small subunit ribosomal RNA
Source: RNAcentral
UACGUAGGGCGCAAGCGUUUGUCCGGAAUUAUUGGGCGUAAAGAGCUCGUAGGCGGCUUGUCACGUCGGGUGUGAAAGCCCGGGGCUUAACCCCGGGUCUGCAUUCGAUACGGGCAGGCUAGAGUGUGGUAGGGGAGAUCGGAAUUCCUGGUGUAGCGGUGAAAUGCGCAGAUAUCAGGAGGAACACCGGUGGCGAAGGCGGAUCUCUGGGCCAUUACUGACGCUGAGGAGCGAAAGCGUGGGGAGCGAACAGG